Molecule: long non-coding RNA, 205 nt
Filed under: Solanum tuberosum (potato)
Lineage: Eukaryota; Viridiplantae; Streptophyta; Magnoliopsida; Solanales; Solanaceae
Description: long non-coding RNA (STUB_LNC009187)
Source: RNAcentral
CCACCUUGUUAGUCCGCCUCUGAUUGAGAUCAUACAAAAUGCAUUCAGCACUAGAACUUUUCUUGUUUAAAAAUUUGAUAUCCAAUAUUUACCAACUCUAGUUAAUUUAGAUUUGAGCAAAGUUAGUCUACUAAGGAGUAAAAUCACUUUCCAUCUAAAGAUUUUUCAUUCACAAAGCUCAAUAACUUAAAAAUAAAAGAAUUUC